RNAcentral lists this small nuclear RNA (107 nucleotides) under Castor canadensis (American beaver). The record is from RNAcentral. Lineage: Eukaryota; Metazoa; Chordata; Mammalia; Rodentia; Castoridae.
CUGCUUGCUUCAGCAGCACAUAUACUAAAAUUGGAAUGGUAUAGAGAAGAUUAGCAUGGCCACUGUGCAAGGAUGGCGUGCACAUUUGUGAAGUGUUCCAUAUUUAA